UGGGGAAUAUUGGACAAUGGGGGCAACCCUGAUCCAGCAAUGCCGCGUGUGUGAAGAAGGUCUUCGGAUUGUAAAGCACUUUCGACGGGGACGAUGAUGACGGUACCCGUAGAAGAAGCCCCGGCUAACUUCGUGCCAGCAGCCGCGGUAAUACGAAGGGGGCUAGCGUUGCUCGGAAUGACUGGGCGUAAAGGGCGUGUAGGCGGUUUACACAGUCAGAUGUGAAAUCCCCGGGCUUAACCUGGGAGCUGCAUUUGAUACGUGUAGACUAGAGUGUGAGAGAGGGUUGUGGAAUUCCCAGUGUAGAGGCGAAAUUCGUAGAUAUUGGGAAGAACACC
Molecule: ribosomal RNA, 338 nt
Filed under: uncultured bacterium
Lineage: Bacteria
Description: partial 16S ribosomal RNA
Rfam family: Bacterial small subunit ribosomal RNA
Source: RNAcentral